GGUUGUGAAGCGUUUACCUCGCUCCAAUCUUUCUGUAUUAGGGAUGCAUCAUUUGGUGGCAAAGGACUGCUUAGUUUCAUCGAAGAUCUUUUCAAGAUUGCACCACAAUUGAGGUGUUUGGAAUUGGGGUCUGUCGGGAUAAUAGAAAGCGUCGCUCAGUUCAUUUGCAACAAUUUUUCAAACCUUACUCGUUUGCAGCUGUCAUAUUCGGCAGAGGUAUCGCGGGAUUUUCUCUCCGGAAUCGACCGGUUACCGCAUCUUUGGUAUUUAGAAUUAAAAUUGUUUAAUUUAAACGGAUUAUCUAUCAGCCCCAAUCCUCAAAACAAAGUUCGCUACCUUACAAUGCACCUUCCUAUUCAAUACUGUCAACUUGAUCUUCUUCGGCUGCUGGAAUGUUUCCCUCAACUCGACCGAUUGAACUUGAUCAUCCAAGGCCAGUCUGUUGAUAAAUCUACUGUCGAUGAGUUAUGCAAAAUACUUCCGACAUGCGCAAUC
Molecule: long non-coding RNA, 495 nt
Organism: Anopheles cruzii
Lineage: Eukaryota; Metazoa; Arthropoda; Insecta; Diptera; Culicidae
Exons: 3
Source: RefSeq, a predicted model, not a curated record